Molecule: ribosomal RNA, 961 nt
Filed under: uncultured Lentimicrobium sp.
Lineage: Bacteria; Pseudomonadati; Bacteroidota; Bacteroidia; Bacteroidales; Lentimicrobiaceae
Description: bacterial SSU rRNA
Rfam family: Bacterial small subunit ribosomal RNA
Source: RNAcentral
AACCCCCCGCUCGUGAGCGGGGCUGAAGGUACCUGAAGAAUAAGCAUCGGCUAACUCCGUGCCAGCAGCUGCGGUAAUACGGAGGAUGCAAGCGUUAUCCGGAUUCAUUGGGUUUAAAGGGUGCGCAGGCGGAUUGGUAAGUCAGGGGUGAAAUCCCACAGCUCAACUGUGGAACUGCCUUUGAUACUGUCAGUCUAGAGUAUAGUUGAAGUUGGCGGAAUGUGUCAUGUAGCGGUGAAAUGCUUAGAUAUGACACAGAACACCGAUCGCGAAGGCAGCUAGCUAAGCUAUAACUGACGCUCAUGCACGAAAGCGUGGGGAUCAAACAGGAUUAGAUACCCUGGUAGUCCACGCUGUAAACGAUGAUUACUCGAUGUUGGCGAUACACAGUCAGCGUCUGAGCGAAAGCAAUAAGUAAUCCACCUGGGGAGUACGAUCGCAAGAUUGAAACUCAAAGGAAUUGACGGGGGCCCGCACAAGCGGAGGAGCAUGUGGUUUAAUUCGAUGAUACGCGAGGAACCUUACCUGGGCUCGAACGUAAGAUGACUGUAGGUGAAAGCUUACAUCUCUUCGGAGCAUUUUACGAGGUGCUGCAUGGUUGUCGUCAGCUCGUGCCGUGAGGUGUCGGGUUAAGUCCCAUAACGAGCGCAACCCCUACCUUUAGUUGCCAUCAGGUCAUGCUGGGGACUCUAAAGGAACUGCCUACGCAAGUAGUGAGGAAGGCGGGGAUGACGUCAAAUCAGCACGGCCCUUACGUCCAGGGCUACACACGUGCUACAAUGGCCGAUACAGAGGGCAGCUACCUGGUGACAGGAUGCAAAUCUCCAAAGUCGGUCUCAGUUCGGAUCGGAGUCUGCAACCCGACUCCGUGAAGUUGGAUUCGCUAGUAAUCGCGCAUCAGCCAUGGCGCGGUGAAUACGUUCCCGGGCCUUGUACACACCGCCCGUCAAGCCAUGGAAGC